This 464-nucleotide ribosomal RNA is filed under the name uncultured bacterium. RNAcentral describes it as "bacterial SSU rRNA". It matches the Rfam family "Bacterial small subunit ribosomal RNA", at positions 28 to 488 of the family's 1533-position model. The record is from RNAcentral.
GACGAACGCUGGCGGCGUGCCUAACACAUGCAAGUCGAACGGAACUUCUUUAAAGGAUUUCUUCGGAAUGAAUUUGAUUAAGUUUAGUGGCGGACGGGUGAGUAACGCGUGAGUAACCUGCCUCUAAGAGGGGAAUAACAUUCUGAAAAGAAUGCUAAUACCGCAUAAUAUAUAUUUAUCGCAUGGUAGAUAUAUCAAAGAUUUAUCGCUUAGAGAUGGACUCGCGUCCGAUUAGUUAGUUGGUGAGGUAACGGCUCACCAAGACCGCAAUCGGUAGCCGGACUGAGAGGUUGAACGGCCACAUUGGGACUGAGACACGGCCCAGACUCCUACGGGAGGCAGCAGUGGGGGAUAUUGCGCAAUGGGGGAAACCCUGACGCAGCAACGCCGCGUGAAGGAUGAAGGUCUUCGGAUUGUAAACUUCUUUUAUUAAGGACGAAGAAAGUGACGGUACUUAAUGAAUA